UAUCUUUAAAUUUAUUAACUUUUUUCAUGUUCAUCACAUAUGUCCAUACUAGCAUAAAAUUAAACAAAUAAGUAAUUGGUUAAAUUAUAAUAAAAAUGGCUGGACUAGUUCGUGAUUAGACUACGAAACAAGCCUUAUUAUCUAUUUAGCUGGCCGAACCGUUGUACCGUCAAAGGCGGCGAAUAUUGAUCUAUUCCAUCUGCUGUUUCUCACCUACCAUCAAUAUGGUUAUAGAUCAAGUUAUACUU
Molecule: long non-coding RNA, 248 nt
Filed under: Phoenix dactylifera (date palm)
Lineage: Eukaryota; Viridiplantae; Streptophyta; Magnoliopsida; Arecales; Arecaceae
Description: long non-coding RNA (PDAC_LNC008076)
Source: RNAcentral